UCAGCAUAGGAAUCUGGCAAACACUGCUCAUUUCUUUCACGUGUAUGUGUGUGGGUGAGCAGUACCCUGAGUGUGUUGUAAGGCCCUUGUAAAUAGGUACUGUGUGUCUGCUCCUCCUCCUCCUUCCUGCCCCCUUAAUUCCUGGAAGUAAGGGAGCACACCCAAGGCCUCUGUGGGUGAGGACAUACCAGGUGGCCGGUCCGUGUCACUGACAAACCGUCUGAGAUCUCUGCCAACCUUUGCCUCCUGACCAAUAGGUCUCCAACACUUCAGUGUGCUUGCACUUUUAAAGAAGAUCCCACCUCCACCCCUUUGCUGAGAAAGUUGCUGCCUUAAAGGGUCACGGUGGCCAUAAGCCACCAAAGGGCCAAGACGAAUAAAAAGACUCAUCCAUGCGACAGCCUUCUGAACACCUGAAGACAUCUCAGCCACCCCUGUAAGCCUCUUCUUCAUGUUGCACAGUUGCGGAUGCUUCACUCAAUCCACAAGGGCCCUUAUCUCAAUUUUGGUCACCCAUAACUGGCUGUCCUCCCAGCUUAUCAAUAUCCUCUAAAAUGAGCCACUCAGACCUGGACCCAGUACUCCAGUUGUGGUCUGACCACUGACUCCUCCAUCUGUCUCUGGUUCUCUUCCUCCUUGAAACUCACAGAAAUCCUUGUUCAUAUCCCUCAA
This is a non-coding RNA of Phascolarctos cinereus (koala), 672 nucleotides long. Lineage: Eukaryota; Metazoa; Chordata; Mammalia; Diprotodontia; Phascolarctidae. The record is from RefSeq and is a predicted model, not a curated record.